This is a non-coding RNA of Durio zibethinus, 3393 nucleotides long. NCBI's taxonomy places the organism in Eukaryota, Viridiplantae, Streptophyta, Magnoliopsida, Malvales, Malvaceae. The record is from RefSeq and is a predicted model, not a curated record.
UAGAUGAUAAAGGGUUUUGUGCUUCUUUUCUUUUUAAUUUAACAGUGUUUUCUCUUUUGUGGUUAAACGAUUUCAUGAAUUUGAAGAGGAUGUUCCUUUCCGCGAUCGUCUGAACAAGGUACAAAACGACCAACCCCUUCGAAUAGCUUACGUUCUUUGAUUAGAUUCUGAUGGGCCGCCUGACAUCCACCGUCGAAACCCCGGAACGAAGACGCCAAUCUGACUGCGAAAACGGCCGUUACAUAUCUGAAUCUGAUGGUUCCCCAAUCUACCAUCGCCGCCGCCGUAGCCCUAGCUACGAUGCCUUUGAACGCGACAACCAGAACCGCGUUGGUAACCAGCAGCGUAAGCGUUCUUGUUCACCUGAAUACAGGAACCUUAGAAGAGGAAGCUCUGUCGGAAUUCCUGAAAGAAGACACCGUUUUGACCGUGAAAAUGGUCGCUACGCAUCCCAAUCCGAUGAUUCUACCGAUUACGGCCGCCGUCGCCGUAGUCCCAGUUACGAAAUCUAUGAUCGCGAUCAACCUCGCAACCGCCACCGUUCCGAGUCACCUGAAGACCGAAACUGUAGAAGACGGAGCCCCGCCCAUGACCGAACCAUAAAUUCUCUGCCGAAACAAUUCGGCAGAAAUCGUAGCUACCUGGACCGAGAUUAUCGGAACGGAAAACAUUCACAGUCCGAAUCGGAUGAGGAAUUGAAGGGAUUGAACUUUGAAGAGUAUAGGAGGCUGAAGAGGCAGAAGAUGAGGAAGGCAUUGAGAUUCUGUAUUUGGGAGAAUACACCGAGUCCGCCUAGGACUGAAGACGAUGAUUUGGAGGAUAAAGCUGAUGAAAUUUCGGAGAAGUAUGGCGAUGAGAAGAGCGAUUCUGAUAAAGAAACAGAGAAGAAAAUCAAUAAGAGAGUGAAAGCCAAGUUUGAGUCUGAAAAAUCUGGAUGUAGCGACUCUGAAAGUGAGCCAGAAUCUGAAUCGGAUGAUUUGAGGUCUCGGAAGAGGAAGAAGGGGUCGAGUUCUAAGCGUAGAAGUAAGAAAAGCAAACGUGCAAGUAGGAAAACAUCAUCUUACAGUGAUAGCGAAUCUGAUGAGAGUGAGAGUGAAUCUGAUGAUGAGGAAAAUAGGAAGCUGAGAAGGAAAUCGAGGAGAGAGCAGAGUAGGCGAAAUAAGUGUAGCAAGAAAAGCAGUAGAGGAAAAGGAAGCAGGAAGAAGCGCAGCUAUAAUGAGAGUGGGAGUGGUGAAAGUGAAACUGAAAUAUCUGAUAUGAGUCAAUCUUCGAAUGAUCUUGUCGAGUCCAAGAAGCGGAAAAGCUCUUCAUAUUCAAGGUCUAGGAGGACUAAGAAAAGGAGAGGAUCAGAAACUGAUAGUCAAGGUUCAUAUAUGGAUAAUAGCUCAGAUUAUGAUGUGGAUGCCAAGAAUAAAACAAAGGCAAAUGACGCUAAGAUUGCUGAAAUGAGUGCUGAGGCUCUUAUGUUUAAAGAAAUGAUAGAGGCUCAGAAGAAACCAGCAUUGGAUAAUGAGCCAAUGGUUGGGCCAGCACCGUUGCCAAGAGCAGAGGGGCAUAUAAGUUACGGUGGUGCUUUGAGGCCUGGUGAAGGUGAUGCCAUUGCACAGUAUGUGCAACAAGGGAAGCGUAUCCCACGAAGAGGUGAAGUGGGUCUUUCUGCUGAGGAGAUUCAAAAGUUUGAGGGCCUUGGGUUUGUGAUGAGUGGUAGUAGACAUCAGAGAAUGAAUGCCAUUCGUAUUAGGAAAGAAAACCAGGUUUACAGUGCAGAGGACAAGAGGGCAUUGGCAAUGUUUAACUAUGAAGAGAAAGCAAAACGAGAACACAAGGUUAUGGCUGAUUUGCAACGGCUUGUGCAGCGCCAUAUUGGGCAGGAUGUUGGUCCUACUCACAAUCCUUUUGCUGGAAAAGAUGGGGCUGAUGCGUGAAUCUCAUGCCACAGGAUGUUGUAGAAUGUGUUUGUUCUCUUUUUUACCCUUAAUACAUUCACAGUGGAUAAGGAAUCCAUAGCUCAGAUUGGUGGAUAUUAUGGUUCCUGCUCAACUUGCUGAAUAUUGGAGAAAGACAUGCUAGAGGGGUACUUGGGAAAAUUUUUGGAGAAUGACAAAGAAGAAAGAGAGCUUGUAGCAUGAUAUACAGCCUGUCUAGGAGGUUUUAUUUAAAUGAAGGGAUUUUACUAGAGUGCAACAUGCUAGAGAAAAGGAAACGGUUCUGAUAUCAUAUUCUUGAACUUGUCACUAGAAUUGAACAAAGUCAUCAUCCGAGAUUUGGCAGUAGGUGGGAUUACAGAUCAUAUCUUUUCUACAGCAGUGGUUUGUAUGGACAGCCCCGUUUAGACAAUCAGGUAAACUACCUUUCCUAGGAGGAGCAUUGGCCUAUUGUGUUGGGGUUGAUUAGAAAUUAGCACGACUACUGAUGCUACUCGAGAAGGGUUGAUUCCUUUACUAAAGUAUCGGCUACCGAAAAUAUUGUGGUGGGCAGUGGGCAAGGAGUCAAACAGCAAGAUCCAUGGGACAUGGGGCCUUAGCCCUAGAGGGGGAAAGCUUGAAAAAUAAAACAGAGUUAGUUCACCCUUUUUUUAAGUACUUACAGUUUUGAUUAUGAAAAAGAAUUGAUACUUUCGUUUCCGAUUUUCCAGUUUACAUAUAAGUCUUAGGUUUAAGCUUGAUUAAAAUAGAGCCCAUGGUUUGUUUUUUUAAUUAAGGUGGAAUCUCCCAUUUCCAUACUCCCAUGCAUUUACGAAAUUGUGUUAAGAGAUGGGCCCAGCAGUAUGAAUUCCAGCUGUCGAACACUCAGUCAAGAACAUUAAUGCAGGGAAAAUGAUAUAAAGCUAGUUUCAGGUAAAAUACUCUGUUCUACUUGAUAAAAAGAAAAAAAAAAAAAGGUAGUUGUUGGCCCCAAACUACGUCGCAGAAAAAGUCCAAACAGCAGCUUUAGCUUUCAUAAUUGUCAUUAGUUAGGCAUAAACAUCACCAUCUCUCCUACAACAUGGUUUUGCAAGUGCAAUUGAAUAUGGGUUACGCAUCUUAGAUGAUUUGGAGCUUUCAGCACAUGGGAAUGAGGUUGCUUGUUGAAACAUGUCAAAGAAAAAGGGUGUUCAAGUUUUAGUCUUUGUUUUUUUCGUCUCCAUUCUGUUUAGUUAGCCAACAUGAAUGACAUGAUUGGAGUAGUUAAGAGAAAUAAGGAGUUUUAAUAGUUACUUGUUGAAACCGGGGGACAAACAAACGAGAAAACGGCAUAAAGGUUGAAAGUUGCACUGUCUUCGAUUGGGCAACCCCUAUUUCCACGACAUAAGAGUUGUGCUACUACUAGUAAUGGGAGAGGUCAUAGAUCAAACUGCUAAUUACAUCAAAUUAACUAAUCUUAAUAUCGAAUUAUGAUGAUUCCUGUCAUCAU